This 504-nucleotide ribosomal RNA is filed under the name uncultured bacterium. RNAcentral describes it as "partial 16S ribosomal RNA". It matches the Rfam family "Bacterial small subunit ribosomal RNA", at positions 30 to 523 of the family's 1533-position model. The record is from RNAcentral.
AUUGAACGCUGGCGGCAGGCCUAACACAUGCAAGUCGAGCGGUAACACAGGGAGCUUGCUCCCGGGUGACGAGCGGCGGACGGGUGAGUAAUGUCUGGGAAACUGCCUGAUGGAGGGGGAUAACUACUGGAAACGGUAGCUAAUACCGCAUAAUGUCACAAGACCAAAGAGGGGGACCUUCGGGCCUCUUGCCAUCAGAUGUGCCCAGAUGGGAUUAGCUAGUAGGUGGGGUAACGGCUCACCUAGGCGACGAUCCCUAGCUGGUCUGAGAGGAUGACCAGCCACACUGGAACUGAGACACGGUCCAGACUCCUACGGGAGGCAGCAGUGGGGAAUAUUGCACAAUGGGCGCAAGCCUGAUGCAGCCAUGCCGCGUGUAUGAAGAAGGCCUUCGGGUUGUAAAGUAUUUUCAGCGGGGAGGAAGGUGUUGAGGUUAAUAACCUCAGCAAUUGACGUUACCCGCAGAAGAAGCACCGGCUAACUCCGUGCCAGCCGCCGCCGUAA